ACUCUGGAAUAGCCUUUCGAAAGAAAGAUUAAUACCGGAUAGCAUACGAAUAUCGCAUGAUAUUUUUAUUAAAGAAUUUCGGUUAUCGAUGGGGAUGCGUUCCAUUAGUUUGUUGGCGGGGUAACGGCCCACCAAGACUACGAUGGAUAGGGGUUCUGAGAGGAAGGUCCCCCACAUUGGAACUGAGACACGGUCCAAACUCCUACGGGAGGCAGCAGUGAGGAAUAUUGGUCAAUGGGCGCAGGCCUGAACCAGCCAAGUAGCGUGAAGGAUGAAGGCUCUAUGGGUUGUAAACUUCUUUUAUAUGGGAAUAAAGUUUUCCACGUGUGGAAUUUUGUAUGUACCAUAUGAAUAAGGAUCGGCUAACUCCGUGCCAGCAGCCGCGGUAAUACGGAGGAUCCGAGCGUUAUCCGGAUUUAUUGGGUUUAAAGGGAGCGUAGGUGGAUUGUUAAGUCAGUUGUGAAAGUUUGCGGCUCAACCGUAAAAUUGCAGUUGAAACUGGCAGUCUUGAGUACAGUAGAGGUGGGCGGAAUUCGUGGUGUAGCGGUGAAAUGCUUAGAUAUCACGAAGAACUCCGAUUGCGAAGGCAGCUCACUAGACUGUCACUGACACUGAUGCUCGAAAGUGUGGGUAUCAAACAGGAUUAGAUACCCUGGUAGUCCACACAGUAAACGA
Molecule: ribosomal RNA, 675 nt
Filed under: uncultured bacterium
Lineage: Bacteria
Description: bacterial SSU rRNA
Rfam family: Bacterial small subunit ribosomal RNA
Source: RNAcentral